This 245-nucleotide ribosomal RNA is filed under the name uncultured eukaryote. RNAcentral's name for it is "partial 18S ribosomal RNA". It matches the Rfam family "Eukaryotic small subunit ribosomal RNA", at positions 1299 to 1461 of the family's 1831-position model. The record is from RNAcentral.
UGGUGGCACGAGUUGUCUGGUUUAUUCCGUUAACGAGCGAGACCGAUACCUUUAAAUAGAGGGGCAAAUUUUCUAUAUGUUGCGAGGGAUUAUCUUGAGAUGGCCUCACCGCCGUCUUGACGUGGUUCUGAGCAUCUGAAAAAUUUGUUUAGACCAUAACGAUAAAAAGUUACGGUUUACCAGUAUUAAUCUUCUUAAAGGGAUUACACAUGUUUAAUGUGAUGAAAUUGUCGGCUAGAACAGGU